UAGAGUGGCGCACGGGUGAGUAACACGUAGAUAAUCUGCCUUCGAGCCUGGGAUAACUAUUCGAAAGGAUGGCUAAUACCGGAUGAAGUGGUUUGACAUAAGUUGAAUCAUGAAAGAUUGCCUCUUCUUGAAAGCAAUUGUUUGAAGAUGAGUCUGCGGACCAUUAGUUUGUUGGUGGGGUAAAGGCCUACCAAGACUACGAUGGUUAGCUGGUCUGAGAGGAUGAUCAGCCACACUGGAACUGAAACACGGUCCAGACUCC
RNAcentral lists this ribosomal RNA (262 nucleotides) under uncultured bacterium. RNAcentral describes it as "partial 16S ribosomal RNA". It matches the Rfam family "Bacterial small subunit ribosomal RNA", at positions 91 to 339 of the family's 1533-position model. The record is from RNAcentral.